UAGGGUCAAGUGACUAAGAGCAUGUGGUGGAUGCCUUGGCGAUGAUAGGCGACGAAAGACGUGAUAGCCUGCGAUAAGCUUCGGGGAGCUGGCAAAUAAGCUUUGAUCCGGAGAUUUCUGAAUGGGGAAACCCACCUCGCAAGAGGUAUCGCAUGAUGAAUACAUAGUCAUGCGAGGCGAACCGGGUGAACUGAAACAUCUCAGUAGCUCGAGGAAAAGACAUCAACCGAGAUUCCGAAAGUAGUGGCGAGCGAAAUCGGAGGAGCCUUCUAGUGAUAGCACGACUGUUAACAAAACGGAAUGGAAAGUCCGGCCAUAGUAGGUGAUAGCCCUGUAUGUGAAAGCAGACGUGUGGUACUGAGCUAGAGAAAAGUAGGGCGGGGCACGAGAAACCCUGUCUGAAUAUGGGGGGACCAUCCUCCAAGGCUAAAUACUCAUCAUCGACCGAUAGUGAACAAGUACCGUGAGGGAAAGGCGAAAAGAACCCCGGGAGGGGAGUGAAAUAGAUCCUGAAACCGCAUGCUUACAAAAAGUCGGAGCCCGCAAGGGUGACGGCGUACCUUUUGUAUAAUGGGUCAGCGACUUACAUUCAGUGGCAAGGUUAACCGAAUAGGGAAGCCGUAGAGAAAUCGAGUCCGAAUAGGGCGUCCAGUCGCUGGGUGUAGACCCGAAACCAAGUGAUCUAUCCAUGGCCAGGAUGAAGGUGCCGUAACAGGUACUGGAGGUCCGAACCGACUAGUGUUGCAAAACUAGCGGAUGAGCUGUGGAUAGGGGUGAAAGGCUAAACAAACUUGGAAAUAGCUGGUUCUCUCCGAAAACUAUUUAGGUAGUGCCUCAAGUAUUACCUUCGGGGGUAGAGCACUGUUUUGGCUAGGGGGUCAUGGCGACUUACCAAACCAAGGCAAACUCCGAAUACCGAAGAGUAGAGCUUGGGAGACAGAGCACCGGGUGCUAACGUCCGGACUCAAGAGGGAAACAACCCAGACCGCCAGCUAAGGUCCCUAAAAUUGGCUAAGUGGGAAACGAAGUGGGAAGGCUAAAACAGUCAGGAUGUUGGCUUAGAAGCAGCCAUCAUUUAAAGAAAGCGUAAUAGCUCACUGAUCGAGUCGUCCUGCGCGGAAGAUGUAACGGGGCUAAGCCAGUUACCGAAGCUGCGGAUGCACAGUUUACUGUGCGUGGUAGGAGAGCGUUCUGUAAGCCUGUGAAGGUGUCUGGUAACGGAUGCUGGAGGUAUCAGAAGUGCGAAUGCUGACAUGAGUAGCGUUAAAGGGGGUGAAAAGCCCCCUCGCCGUAAGCGCAAGGUUUUCUACGCAACGUUCAUCGGCGUAGAGUGAGUCGGCCCCUAAGGCGAGGCAGAGAUGCGUAGUUGAUGGGAAACAGGUCAAUAUUCCUGUACCGAUGUGUAGUGCGAUGUGGGGACGGAGAAGGUUAGCUCAGCCAACUGUUGGAUAUGUUGGUUCAAGCCUGUAGUCGUGCCCGGUAGGCAAAUCCGCCGGGCUUAGAUGAGGGGUGAUAACGAGUCUGCUUGCAGACGAAGUGAGUGAUACCCUGCUUCCAGGAAAAGCCACUAAGCUUCAGCUACACACGACCGUACCGCAAACCGACACUGGUGCGCGAGAUGAGUAUUCUAAGGCGCUUGAGAGAACUCAGGAGAAGGAACUCGGCAAAUUGAUACCGUAACUUCGGGAGAAGGUAUGCCGCAAGUAGGUGAACUUGUACAAAGGGAGCCCAAAGCGGUUGCAAAAAAUCGGUGGCUGCGACUGUUUAAUAAAAACACAGCACUCUGCAAACACGAAAGUGGACGUAUAGGGUGUGA
RNAcentral lists this ribosomal RNA (1816 nucleotides) under Paracidovorax citrulli. RNAcentral describes it as "bacterial LSU rRNA". It matches the Rfam family "Bacterial large subunit ribosomal RNA", at positions 1 to 1855 of the family's 2925-position model. The record is from RNAcentral. Lineage: Bacteria; Pseudomonadati; Pseudomonadota; Betaproteobacteria; Burkholderiales; Comamonadaceae.